GCGCUUUUGGUAUAGUGGUUAGAAUAUCAGGUUUCCAACCUGACGACCCGGGUUCAAUUCCCGGAAGGCGCA
Molecule: transfer RNA, 72 nt
Filed under: Promethearchaeota archaeon
Lineage: Archaea; Promethearchaeati; Promethearchaeota
Description: Candidatus Lokiarchaeota archaeon (permafrost metagenome) tRNA-Gly
Rfam family: tRNA
About the family: Transfer RNA (tRNA) molecules are approximately 80 nucleotides in length. Their secondary structure includes four short double-helical elements and three loops (D, anti-codon, and T loops). Further hydrogen bonds mediate the characteristic L-shaped molecular structure. tRNAs have two regions of fundamental functional importance: the anti-codon, which is responsible for specific mRNA codon recognition, and the 3' end, to which the tRNAs corresponding amino acid is attached (by aminoacyl-tRNA synthetases). tRNAs cope with the degeneracy of the genetic code in two manners: having more than one tRNA (with a specific anti-codon) for a particular amino acid; and 'wobble' base-pairing, i.e. permitting non-standard base-pairing at the 3rd anti-codon position.
Source: RNAcentral